This 616-nucleotide ribosomal RNA is filed under the name Escherichia coli. RNAcentral describes it as "bacterial LSU rRNA". It matches the Rfam family "Bacterial large subunit ribosomal RNA", at positions 1293 to 1894 of the family's 2925-position model. Lineage: Bacteria; Pseudomonadati; Pseudomonadota; Gammaproteobacteria; Enterobacterales; Enterobacteriaceae. The record is from RNAcentral.
AAUGCUGACAUAAGUAACGAUAAAGCGGGUGAAAAGCCCGCUCGCCGGAAGACCAAGGGUUCCUGUCCAACGUUAAUCGGGGCAGGGUGAGUCGACCCCUAAGGCGAGGCCGAAAGGCGUAGUCGAUGGGAAACAGGUUAAUAUUCCUGUACUUGGUGUUACUGCGAAGGGGGGACGGAGAAGGCUAUGUUGGCCGGGCGACGGUUGUCCCGGUUUAAGCGUGUAGGCUGGUUUUCCAGGCAAAUCCGGAAAAUCAAGGCUGAGGCGUGAUGACGAGGCACUACGGUGCUGAAGCAACAAAUGCCCUGCUUCCAGGAAAAGCCUCUAAGCAUCAGGUAACAUCAAAUCGUACCCCAAACCGACACAGGUGGUCAGGUAGAGAAUACCAAGGCGCUUGAGAGAACUCGGGUGAAGGAACUAGGCAAAAUGGUGCCGUAACUUCGGGAGAAGGCACGCUGAUAUGUAGGUGAAGUCCCUCGCGGAUGGAGCUGAAAUCAGUCGAAGAUACCAGCUGGCUGCAACUGUUUAUUAAAAACACAGCACUGUGCAAACACGAAAGUGGACGUAUACGGUGUGACGCCUGCCCGGUGCCGGAAGGUUAAUUGAUGGGGUUAGC